RNAcentral lists this small RNA (2109 nucleotides) under Oryza sativa Japonica Group (Japanese rice). RNAcentral's name for it is "sRNA Os11g0520950". Lineage: Eukaryota; Viridiplantae; Streptophyta; Magnoliopsida; Poales; Poaceae. The record is from RNAcentral.
GGCCUAUGGAAAGUACACAAUUUGAUUUAAUAUGCAUCCUUUCAAGAUGCUGUAACAAGUCAACAACACUGUUUGGGUUGGGGAUGCAAGUUAUGUACACCAAAAAAAGAAUCAAUCGACUACUAUGUUGUAACAAAAACUCAAAAUCAUAAACAAGAAACAUCUUUUUUUGUAAUGUUCUACGGUUCAUGUACAUCACAGAGGGGGAAAAACUGAAAGUCUGAGACCCAGUGCAAGCUUUGUUUGAGGCUGCUAGGUCAGAUCCUCGACAUCGGACGAUUCCUCGUUGGUGGUGUCCAUCUCAUCUUUUGUGGUGGUGUUUUUCAGCUCUUCUUUGGUGCUGUUCAGCUCCUCUUCUUUGGUAGAGUUCGCCUCUCUCCGCGAAAGUUCCCAUAGUAGCUGUUCGAUUCCUAGGCGCCUCAGCUCGCGUAUACCCAUAUCAACAUCUACAGCAUCAUGUGAGGUGGGCUGCUGCCCAUGUCGAUCAAUCCACAUCUGCAACCGCUCCUCAGCAAUAUCAUCUUCCACGUUAUGGGUUUUAGCCCUUCUCCAGAAAUAUACGAGCCAUGCCUGCUUGAACAAUACAUCUUCCUCUUCCUCCUUGCUGAGAUCAAAUGCUUCAGUGAAUUUUUCAUCACCAGAUGAUUUAAUAUCUGGGUCUACUAGUUCAGCAACAUUAGGACGAUGAUGAUGGGCAAGAGCAAUAAGAACAGCAUCCUCAACCUUCAAGAAAGCUAGUUCUUGAAGCCCUUUAUCAACAGAAAGCAUGGUUUCUAUGUUGCCUUCUCCAGCUGUUACUGUCAACUCAUGAACAAACCUUUCUGUGUCUUCCAAAUCAUCACCACUACGAAGAGAUCCAUCCUUAGCUCUCUGUCCAGCAGCUGUUACAUACUCAAAGGGAAGAGGAGCAAAUGAAGACCAGUAUUCAUGUUUUGACAUGGAAAUAUCAGGAUAGAUGCCAUAUUGAACAGCCAAGCCCCAAUAACGAGCAAGCCAACACCUCUUCAUAACAACUUCUUCCAUUUCUUCCUUGCUCAAGAUCAUCCUGUGUGUCAUCGUGCGUAAAUAUUUUGUUUCAGACUCUGCUUCUUGGAGUUUCUGAACAGCAGCAGCCUCCUUUUCUCUUGCAGACUGCAGCUGUUUUUGAAGAGUGGCAAUUUCCUCGCUUUUAUCAUUCUUCGAUAUAAGUGCUUUUCUUAUUUCUUGCUCCUUUCUUACGAGCAUCUCCUCCCUCCUUUUCAUAAGCUUAACUUCCAUAGAUAACCCAUCACCGAGAUUAGCAACCUGUUUCUCGAGCUCCCUUGUCCGGGCUUCAGAUUGUCUAAAUCUCUCUUCAGCUAGUCCAAGCUUCUCCAAAAGGUUUACAUUUUCAUCUUUUAGCAUCUCAAGCUCUUCUGUUAUUGUUGAACUGUCAUGUGAGUCUCGUGACCGUGUCGACUGAGCAAAAGUGGGAUCUGGAUAGAUUGCCCUUCUUUCCCGAGGGGUCCCAUUUGGCAUUUCCACCGCUUGUAGAGGUCUGAUAUUAACCCCAACAGGUGGUGCAAAAGUUGACCUUCCAGUUGAUGGAGGGCGAUUUGCUGCACCAGUGUCCACACCAUUCCGACCUAACUUAGGCAAAGCGAAGCCGAAGUACUUGUCCUUCACGCCGCCGCCGCCGCCGCCGCCGCCGUUCAUGGGGCUCCGGCCGCCGUACACGCCGCCGUUGAGCGGGCUCCGGCCACCAUCGUACCUCCCGCCUCCGCCGCCGCCGACGACGUCGUCGUCGUCGUCGUAGCCGUCCUCGCUCGCGCCGCGCGAGGAGGCCGGCGGCGGCGGGCGCGCCAUGGCCUGCGCCAGCGCGGCGGCGGCGCGCGCCUUGUUCCGCGCGGCGAGCGGGUGGACGGGCGACGCCGCCCCCGCCGCCGCCGGGUGGGCCGGCGACGCCGGCGCCGAGUAGAUCCCCGCCGCCGGCGAGCGCCGCCUGCCGUACGUCGGGCUCCCGGCCCGCCGCCAGUCCAUCAUGCCCGGCCCCCCGUGCGCGCGGCGCUAGCCUCGCCGGCCGGCGGCGUGUCGCGGCGCAGGGUGGCGCGCGGGGUGCGAUUCGCGUGGCUGAUCGAGAUCGAUGUGGGG